GAUGAACGCUGGCGGCGUGCCUAACACAUGCAAGUCGAGCGAACAGACGAGGAGCUUGCUCCUCUGACGUUAGCCGCGGACGGGAGAGUAACACAAGGAUACUCUAUCUAUAAGACUGGGAUAACUUCGGGAAAUCAGUGCUCAUACCGGAUAAUAUAUUGAUCCUCAUGGUUUAAUAAUUCAAGACGGUUUUGCUGUCACCUCUCGAUGGAUGGGCGCUGCAUUAGCUAGGUGGUAAGGUAACGGCUUACCAAGGCAACCAUGCGUAGCCGAUCUGACAGGGUGAGCGGCCACACUGCAACUGAACCGCGGCCCGGACUCCUACGGUAGGCGGCGGUGGAGAAUCUUCCACAAUGGGCGGGAGCCUGACGGAACAAAGCCACGCGAGGUAUAAAAGGCUUGGGAUCGUGGUUCUCUGUUAUUAGUGAAGAACGAUAAUGUAAGUAACUAUACACGUGUUGACGGUACCUAAUGAAUAAGCCACGGCUAACUACGUG
Molecule: ribosomal RNA, 497 nt
Filed under: uncultured bacterium
Lineage: Bacteria
Description: partial 16S ribosomal RNA
Rfam family: Bacterial small subunit ribosomal RNA
Source: RNAcentral